Molecule: ribosomal RNA, 270 nt
Filed under: uncultured archaeon
Lineage: Archaea
Description: partial 16S ribosomal RNA
Rfam family: Archaeal small subunit ribosomal RNA
Source: RNAcentral
CUGCAGCCCGAGUGGUGAUCGAUUUUAUUGAGCCUAAAGCGUCCGUAGCCGGACUAGUAAACUCUUGGGUAAAUUGGGCAGCCUAACUGUCCAAAUUCCGAGAGGACUGCUAGUCUUGGGACCGGGAGAGGUCAGAGGUACUCCAGGGGUAGGGGCUAAAUCCUGUAAUCCUUUGGGGACCACCAGUGGCGAAGGCGUCUGACUAGAACGGAUCCGACGGUAAGGGACGAAACCCUGGGGCGCGAACCGGAUUAGAUACCCGAGUAGUCC